AACGAACGCUGGCGGCAUGCCUAACACAUGCAAGUCGAACGAGACCUUCGGGUCUAGUGGCGCACGGGUGCGUAACGCGUGGGAACCUGCCCUUAGGUUCGGAAUAACUCCCCGAAAGGGGUGCUAAUACCGGAUAAUGUCUUCGGACCAAAGAUUUAUCGCCUUUGGAUGGGCCCGCGUUGGAUUAGCUAGUUGGUAGGGUAAAAGCCUACCAAGGCGACGAUCCAUAGCUGGUCUGAGAGGAUGAUCAGCCACACUGGGACUGAGACACGGCCCAGACUCCUACGGGAGGCGGAGGGGGGAAGAUUGGAAAAUGGGCGAAAGCCUGAUCCAGCAAGGCCGCGUGAGGGAUGAAGGCCUUAGGGUUGUAAAGCCCUUUUAACCGGGAUGAUAAUGACAGUACCCGGAGAAUAAGCUCCGGCUAACUCCGUG
This 432-nucleotide ribosomal RNA is filed under the name uncultured bacterium. RNAcentral's name for it is "partial 16S ribosomal RNA". It matches the Rfam family "Bacterial small subunit ribosomal RNA", at positions 29 to 507 of the family's 1533-position model. The record is from RNAcentral.